CUUGCCCGGAAAUUACGAGCACCAGCUUAAAACCCAAAGGACUUGGCGGUGACUUAGACCCAUCUAGAGGAGCCUGUUCUGUAAUCGACACCCCCCGUUAAACCUAACCCUCUCUUGUCAUCCCCGCCUAUAUACCGCCGUCGUCAGCUUACCCUGUGAAGGACUAGUAGUGGGCAAAAUCGGCACAGCCCAAAACGCCAGGUCAAGGUGUAGCGUAUGAGAGGGGAAGAAAUGGGCUACAUUCACUGCACCAGUGAAAACGGAUAAUGCUUUGAAACAAGCACUUUUGAAGGAGGAUUUAGUAGUAAGAGGGGAAUAGAGUGCCCCUCUGAAACAGGCUCUGAGACACGCACAUACCGCCCGUCACUCUCUCCAGCAUAGCAGGUAUAGUAUUAAAUAAACAAUGACCCUAGGCACAAGGGGAGGCAAGUCGUAACAUGGUAAGUGUACCGGAAGGUGCACUUGGUAAACAU
This 473-nucleotide ribosomal RNA is filed under the name Tridentiger bifasciatus (Shimofuri goby). RNAcentral's name for it is "partial 12S ribosomal RNA". It matches the Rfam family "Bacterial small subunit ribosomal RNA", at positions 868 to 1533 of the family's 1533-position model. Lineage: Eukaryota; Metazoa; Chordata; Actinopteri; Gobiiformes; Gobiidae. The record is from RNAcentral.